This 252-nucleotide ribosomal RNA is filed under the name uncultured bacterium. RNAcentral describes it as "partial 16S ribosomal RNA". It matches the Rfam family "Bacterial small subunit ribosomal RNA", at positions 524 to 776 of the family's 1533-position model. The record is from RNAcentral.
UACGUAGGGGGCAAGCGUUGUCCGGAAUUAUUGGGCGUAAAGCGCGCGCAGGCGGUUUUGUAAGUCAGGUGUUUAAGCUCGGGGCUCAACCCCGAUUCGCAUCUGAAACUGCAAGACUUGAGUACAGAAGAGGAAAGUGGAAUUCCACGUGUAGCGGUGAAAUGCGUAGAGAUGUGGAGGAACACCAGUGGCGAAGGCGACUUUCUGGGCUGUAACUGACGCUGAGGCGCGAAAGCGUGGGGAGCAAACAGG